CCAGUUGAGAAAUGUUUGAGGGAUGCUAAGAUGGACAAGAGCACUGUCCAUGAUGUUGUUCUUGUUGGUGGUUCCACUAGAAUUCCAAAGGUCCAACAACUUUUACAAGAUUUCUUCAAUGGGAAGGAGCUUUGCAAGAGCAUCAACCCUGAUGAGGCCGUUGCAUAUGGUGCUGCAGUCCAAGCUGCUAUAUUGAGUGGUGAAGGUAAUGAGAAAGUGCAAGAUCUCUUGCUCUUGGAUGUCACUCCAUUGUCUUCCGGUUUGGAAACCGCUGGUGGUGUUAUGACCGUUUUGAUUCCAAGGAACACCACCAUUCCAACCAAAAAAGAACAAGUCUUCUCAACCUACUCCGACAACCAACCUGGUGUGUUGAUCCAAGUUUACGAAGGUGAAAGAACAAGGACCAGAGACAACAACUUGCUCGGUAAAUUUGAGCUCUCUGGCAUCCCUCCUGCUCCUAGAGGUGUCCCACAGAUCACUGUCUGCUUUGAUAUCGAUGCUAAUGGUAUCUUAAACGUAUCUGCCGAAGACAAAACCACUGGACAAAAGAACAAAAUCACCAUCACAAACGACAAGGGCCGACUCUCCAAAGAAGAAAUUGAAAAGAUGGUUCAAGAAGCAGAGAAAUACAAAUCCGAAGAUGAAGAACAUAAAAAGAAGGUCGAGGCAAAGAAUGCAUUGGAAAACUAUGCAUACAAUAUGAGGAACACAGUGAAGGACGAGAAGAUUAGUGCUAAACUCCCAGCAGCUGAUAAAAAGAAGAUUGAAGAUGCUAUUGAACAAGCCAUUCAAUGGCUAGACAGCAACCAACUCGCCGAAGCCGAUGAAUUUGAAGACAAGAUGAAGGAGUUGGAGAGUAUUUGCAACCCCAUCAUUGCUAAGAUGUACCAAGGUGCCGGCGGUGACAUGGGUGGUGGCAUGGAUGAGGAUGUUCCGGCUGGUGGAAGUGGUGCUGGUCCUAAGAUUGAGGAAGUUGACUAAAUCAUUGAUUUUCUUCACCUGGUUUCUCUAUUGUUCUCUUAUGUUUUUUGGGAUUUAAACUGUUUGGUUUUGUUGUUUGGUUUCUAAUCGGAUUGAAAUGAACUUUUAUAGGGUUUGUUCCUUUUUUGGGAUACUCUAUCAGUAGC
This 1127-nucleotide long non-coding RNA is filed under the name Gossypium barbadense (sea-island cotton). RNAcentral's name for it is "long non-coding RNA (GBAR_LNC011052)". Lineage: Eukaryota; Viridiplantae; Streptophyta; Magnoliopsida; Malvales; Malvaceae. The record is from RNAcentral.